Molecule: long non-coding RNA, 2555 nt
Organism: Solanum dulcamara
Lineage: Eukaryota; Viridiplantae; Streptophyta; Magnoliopsida; Solanales; Solanaceae
Exons: 3
Source: RefSeq, a predicted model, not a curated record
AAAACAAAAAUUGAAGACGUGAAUUUCAUGGGAAAAAUUGUAGGAUGAGUUUUCUCGUUAUUGUGGGUCCUUGGAAACUAUUCACACAAUAAACAAGCACCACACAAUAUAAAAGGGAAUGAGAUUCCUUAAAGAAAAAAAACAGAAAGAGAUAUAUAGUGAUUUAAAACCAAACUUCCUAUAUAUUUUGACUCUCUUGAUAAGCCAGGACACAUGAUAGUAGUAGAAAACAGAUCUGAUAAGCCAUGACUAGACAUUAAGGGAAAAGAGACAUUAAGAUCCUGCAUGAAGUAACAAUCAAUAUCCUUUGUGAGUCUCCACGUUUUAUGUGUGAAAAACUUUGUCGAUGUACUGCUCAUGGCCAAAGAUGUAGUUAUUCUUGAAACUCCACUAAUCAAAGGUAUUCGAUAUUCAAACUUUAGUUGCCCGAUUACUACAGAUUCAUGUUGGAUAGGUCAUUAAGAGGGAUAAAGAAGACCUACAAGAGGUUCUUCAUCCUCAUUAUUCGAACUCGAGAUCUCUGGUUAAUAGUGAAAGGGAUUUUACAUUCCUCCGCACCUCUUUUCGCAUCCACAAUAAUUUGGAGAGAUGGAAUUUCAAUUUUAGCCAAUAUUACAGCCCCACUUCCAUAAACUAGCAAGUAAGGUGAUGCACCAAUCGAAGUACGUAUUGUUGUGCGAUAUCCCAAUAGUGCAAAAGACAACUUUUUAUGCCAUUGCAUGGUGCCUUGGACCAUCUUUCUGAGGAUCUUUUUGAUAUUCUUGUUGACAACCUCCACAACUCUAUUGGCCUUUGAUCGGUAUGGAGUAGAAUUGUGAUGCACAAUUUUAAAUUGCUCACAUGCAUCCUUCAUCAAGUUGCUAUUUAGAUUCGCAACACUAUCUUUGAUGAUAGUUCUUGGGAUACCAAAAUGACAAAUGAUGUUAUAAUAGACAAAAUCUACCAUCAUUUUCUUAGUGACUACCUCUACCUAUUUAGUGAAGUAAUCAAUUGCGACUAAAAUGAAUCAAUGUCCAUUUGAAACUUUUCGCUCAAUUUGUCCAAUGACAUUUAUUUCCCAAGCAUCAAAGGAUCAAGGAGAGGACAUAGGGUGUAACUCUAAAGGAGGUGAAUAAAUUAAGUCACCAUGAAUCUGGCACUAAUGACAUUUUAUCACCAAGAAAAAACAAUCCCUUUCCAUGGUAAGCCAGUAAUACCCCACUCGAAGUAUCAUUUUUGCAAGAACAUAUCCAUUCAUGUGUGGUCUACAUACCUUAGCAUAUACUUCAUUCAUUAUCUUCUGAGCUUAUUCAACAUCCACACAUCUCAGCAAAUUCAAAUCCAGGUUUCAUUUUUAUAAGAUUUCCUCACUCAAAACAAAACCACUAGCUAGACACCUAAUAGUUCUUUUCUGGCUUCUAUUAACACGUUCUGGAUAUUUACUUAUUUUUAAAAUUUCUUUGACAUCUAGGUACCAUGACUCACUAUCUAGCUCUACUUCAAUUGUGUUACAAUAAUUUUUUUGGUCCCGAAAUUGAAUUUCCAAAGGAUUGAUGCAAAUAUUGCCAGGGUAUGAAAUCAUUUAGGCCAAAGUGCCCAAGGCAUCUGCCAAUUCAUUAUGAAACCUAGGAAUAUAUCUAAACAAGAUGAAGUUAAACCUUUUACUGAGGUCUUCCACACACUGUUUGUAUGCAAGGAGCUUGAGCUCUUGAGUUUUCCAUUUUCCUUGAGCUCUGCGAAUAAGCAAAUAAGAAUCUCCCACUACAGCCAAUCCCUACACAUCCAAAUUAUUUCUAUAUUCAUACACAUGAUGCAAGCUUCAGACUUUGUUAUGUUAUUUGUGCUGAAGAAACACAGUCGUGUUGUUGCAGGAAAGUGUUGCCUUAUGGGCAAUAUGAGAACUACCCCAAUCCCUAUGCCUUUUAUAUUGAUUACUCCAUCAGAGGAUAAUUUUAAGGCCUAAUUUUCAUCAGGAUCUACUUCCUCUAUUAAAUUAACCUCUUUAUCUAGAAAAUAUGUAAUGAAUGCUUCAUAAUCGUGUAACACCCCGUGUUAUUCUUGUCUAGACAAAGUCCAAAAACCAUGGGGAAAAUUGAUCAAAUGGACUGACCAGUGGACCACAAGGGCCAUCUAUGAUUCAUAGACUAUUCUACGAGUCUUAAGAAUGAAUCGUGGGUCCCUCCAACACUUAGUAAAACUUUUGGAUUUGGAGAAGUGAUCAUACGAUUGACCUUAUAAUUCGUAAGAGUUUCUAUUAGUCGUAGGGGGGACUCAUAGAACCCUUUGACACUUAGCCAAUUUUAGAACACGAAGUCACUCUUAUGAGUGGAGUUGAUGAAUCGUCAAAUAGUCCAUGAGUCAUAGAAACAACUCAUACAAGAGAUUCAGAAACUCAGUAUUCUCAAAGUUUUAAUGAUCUAAAGUAUGAGUCAUGUAUACGACUCAUCGAGUUGUUUAUAACUUAUAGACAUUGAAUCAUACACCCCGUGCCUUUUCCAUCCCUAUUCUACCAUGGGAGAUGAUCAACAUGGACUUUAUAAUAGGUUUACCGUGAUCCCACAGACAACAUAAAUUUA